RNAcentral lists this ribosomal RNA (253 nucleotides) under uncultured bacterium. RNAcentral describes it as "partial 16S ribosomal RNA". It matches the Rfam family "Bacterial small subunit ribosomal RNA", at positions 524 to 776 of the family's 1533-position model. The record is from RNAcentral.
UACGAAGGGGGCUAGCGUUGCUCGGAAUCACUGGGCGUAAAGCGCACGUAGGCGGGCCGUUAAGUCGGGGGUGAAAUCCUGGAGCUCAACUCCAGAACUGCCUUCGAUACUGGCGAUCUUGAGUCUGGGAGAGGUGAGUGGAACUCCGAGUGUAGAGGUGAAAUUCGUAGAUAUUCGGAAGAACACCAGUGGCGAAGGCGGCUCACUGGCCCGGUACUGACGCUGAGGCACGAAAGCUCGGGGAGCAAACGGG